GCAACCGGACGGGAGCACGCUUAGUUGAUGCGACUGACGGAUGUUUGUUCGGGCGUCACGAGGAAGAUAUGAGGGAGCAUGCGCACACGACAAUGUUACUGAGCGUUGCUACACUUCACGCCACGAACGAGUUUAUCAGUGAGCGACAGAUCAAUUGAUUAGCAUAGCACAUAACAUAUUGGCGGGAAAUAACUGGUACUGUAUUAUCUUAUCUACCUAGAAUCAUCAUACUGGAGUACUAGCGCACAGACUAGAGACGGAGAAAGCAUGUCCAUGACAUUCACGCGACAGAUUUUUAUCGAACGGUUAACAGUCUCGCUGGCCUUGUCCGCUUAGAAGAAGGCCAUCCCGACGGCGAAGGAGGCGGCGAGGGCGACGAGGGCGCCGGCGGCGUGGAAGCGGCGCGCCGCGUGGCUGGGCUUGGGCGACUCCGGCGGCGAGGCGAACGGCGAAGGACCUGCGACGGAGAUGGCACGUACAGUAUAUAUUAGUUGUACACAACUACUAUACCACUACAGUACUCGGCUCCAUGGCACUAGAACGUGAUGACAAGCACGUGAACUGAAACUGUGUGUCUGUACUUCUGUACCUACGAGCAUACAUAUGGCCACUGGAUGUUUUAGCAUUACUUCUGUUUUUCGCUUCUUUUUUAUUUAUAUAUUUAACUAAUACUACUACCUAGUACCAUCAAUUUCUUGUAUUAAUCCUUCCUCUUGGUCUUUGACUCUUGGGCAGCCAGAAAGAAUUAUUAAACUGAACCCGCAACUGAAAUUCUGCUACUGCAUGCGGCGGCGCUUACCAGCGGGGUACUGUGGGCUGCCGCCGGGCGACAUGGGCGAGGGAGAUCCCGGCGCGGGCGCCGGAGACGGGCCCAGACGAACGUUGUAUCCC
This 891-nucleotide long non-coding RNA is filed under the name Triticum aestivum (bread wheat). RNAcentral's name for it is "long non-coding RNA (TAES_LNC019580)". Lineage: Eukaryota; Viridiplantae; Streptophyta; Magnoliopsida; Poales; Poaceae. The record is from RNAcentral.